RNAcentral lists this ribosomal RNA (293 nucleotides) under uncultured bacterium. RNAcentral describes it as "partial 16S ribosomal RNA". It matches the Rfam family "Bacterial small subunit ribosomal RNA", at positions 505 to 796 of the family's 1533-position model. The record is from RNAcentral.
GUGUCAGCAGCCGCGGUAAUACAGAGGGUGCGAGCGUUGUUCGGAAUUACUGGGCGUAAAGCGCGCGCAGGCGGCUCUUUAAGUCUGACGGUGAAAUGCCGGGGCUCAACCCCGUGCCCGCCGCGGAUACUGGAGAGCUGGAGACACGUAGAGGCAAGCGGAAUUCCGGGUGUAGCGGUGGAAUGCGUAGAGAUCCGGAAGAACACCGGAGGCGAAGGCGGCUUGCUGGGCGUAGUCUGACGCUGAGGCGCGAAAGCGUGGGGAGCGAACAGGAUUAGAUACCCUGGUAGUCC